UCUCUCUGCUCACGUAGUCACACCUACAAAACCCUGUCCCUAGUCUCUCUGCUCACCUACAUUAACUACAAAACCCUGUCCCUAGUCUCUCUGCUCACCUACAUUAACUACAAAACCCUGUCCCUAGUCUCUCUGCUCACCUACAUUAACUACAAAACCCUGUCCCUAGUCACUCUGCUCACCUACAUUAACUACAAAACCCUGUCCCUAGUCUCUCUGCUCACCUACAUUAACUACAAAACCCUGUCCCUAGUCUCUCUGCUCACCUACAUUAACAACAAAACCCUGUCCCUAGUCUCUCUGCUCACCUACAUUAACUACAAAACCCUGUCCCUAGUCUCUCUGCUCACCUACAUUAACUACAAAACCCUGUCCCUAGUCUCUCUGCUCACCUACAUUAACUACAAAACCCUGUCCCUAGUCUCUCUGCUCACCUACAUUAACUACAAAACCCUGUCCCUAGUCUCUCUGCUCACCUACAUUAACGACAAAACCCUGUCCCUAGUCUCUCUGCUCACCUACAUUAACUACAAAACCCUGUCCCUAGUCUCUCUGCUCACCUACAUUAACUACAAAACCCUGUCCCUAGUCUCUCUGCUCACCUACAUUAACUACAAAACCCUGUCCCUAGUCUCUCUGCUCACCUACAUGAACUACAAAACCCUGUCCCUAGUCUCUCUGCUCACCUACAUUAACUACAAAACCCUGUCCCUAGUCUCUCUGCUCACCUACAUUAACGACAAAACCCUGUCCCUAGUCUCUCUGCUCACCUACAUUAACUACAAAACCCUGUCCCUAGUCUCUCUGCUCACGUAUUUUCACACCUACAAAACCCUGUCCCUAGUCUCUCUGCUCACGUAUAGUCACACCUACAUUAACUACAAAACCCUGUCCCUAGUCUCUCUGCUCACCUACAUUAACUACAAAACCCUGUCCCUAGGUCUCUCUCUUAGUUAUCUUAAACCCUGUCCCCAGGUCUCUCUCUUAGUUAUCUUAAACCCUGUCCCCAGGUUGUCAGAAGUAUAUUUCUUAUCAUUCAGCAUACACUGUCCUCAUCACUGUAAAUAUCAAUAG
Molecule: long non-coding RNA, 1074 nt
Filed under: Oncorhynchus kisutch (coho salmon)
Lineage: Eukaryota; Metazoa; Chordata; Actinopteri; Salmoniformes; Salmonidae
Description: lncRNA (ENSOKIG00005027824.1)
Source: RNAcentral